CUCAGGACGAACGCUGGCGGCGUGCCUAAUACAUGCAAGUCGAACGAACUCUGGUAUUGAUUGGUGCUUGCAUCAUGAUUUACAUUUGAGUGAGUGGCGAACUGGUGAGUAACACGUGGGAAACCUGCCCAGAAGCGGGGGAUAACACCUGGAAACAGAUGCUAAUACCGCAUAACAACUUGGACCGCAUGGUCCGAGCUUGAAAGAUGGCUUCGGCUAUCACUUUUGGAUGGUCCCGCGGCGUAUUAGCUAGAUGGUGGGGUAACGGCUCACCAUGGCAAUGAUACGUAGCCGACCUGAGAGGGUAAUCGGCCACAUUGGGACUGAGACACGGCCCAAACUCCUACGGGAGGCAGCAGUAGGGAAUCUUCCACAAUGGACGAAAGUCUGAUGGAGCAACGCCGCGUGAGUGAAGAAGGGUUUCGGCUCGUAAAACUCUGUUGUUAAAGAAGAACAUAUCUGAGAGUAACUGUUCAGGUAUUGACGGUAUUUAACCAGAAAGCCACGGCUAACUACGUGCCAGCAGCCGCGGUAAUACGUAGGUGGCAAGCGUUGUCCGGAUUUAUUGGGCGUAAAGCGAGCGCAGGCGGUUUUUUAAGUCUGAUGUGAAAGCCUUCGGCUCAACCGAAGAAGUGCAUCGGAAACUGGGAAACUUGAGUGCAGAAGAGGACAGUGGAACUCCAUGUGUAGCGGUGAAAUGCGUAGAUAUAUGGAAGAACACCAGUGGCGAAGGCGGCUGUCUGGUCUGUAACUGACGCUGAGGCUCGAAAGUAUGGGUAGCAAACAGGAUUAGAUACCCUGGUAGUCCAUACCGUAAACGAUGAAUGCUAAGUGUUGGAGGGUUUCCGCCCUUCAGUGCUGCAGCUAACGCAUUAAGCAUUCCGCCUGGGGAGUACGGCCGCAAGGCUGAAACUCAAAGGAAUUGACGGGGGCCCGCACAAGCGGUGGAGCAUGUGGUUUAAUUCGAAGCUACGCGAAGAACCUUACCAGGUCUUGACAUACUAUGCAAAUCUAAGAGAUUAGACGUUCCCUUCGGGGACAUGGAUACAGGUGGUGCAUGGUUGUCGUCAGCUCGUGUCGUGAGAUGUUGGGUUAAGUCCCGCAACGAGCGCAACCCUUAUUAUCAGUUGCCAGCAUUAAGUUGGGCACUCUGGUGAGACUGCCGGUGACAAACCGGAGGAAGGUGGGGAUGACGUCAAAUCAUCAUGCCCCUUAUGACCUGGGCUACACACGUGCUACAAUGGAUGGUACAACGAGUUGCGAACUCGCGAGAGUAAGCUAAUCUCUUAAAGCCAUUCUCAGUUCGGAUUGUAGGCUGCAACUCGCCUACAUGAAGUCGGAAUCGCUAGUAAUCGCGGAUCAGCAUGCCGCGGUGAAUACGUUCCCGGGCCUUGUACACACCGCCCGUCACACCAUGAGAGUUUGUAACACCCAAAGUCGGUGGGGUAACCUUUUAGGAACCAGCCGCCUAAGGUGGGACAGAUGAUUAGGGUGAAGUCGUAACAAGGUAGCCGUAGGAGAACCUGCGGCUGGAUACC
RNAcentral lists this ribosomal RNA (1538 nucleotides) under Lactiplantibacillus plantarum. RNAcentral's name for it is "partial 16S ribosomal RNA". It matches the Rfam family "Bacterial small subunit ribosomal RNA". The record is from RNAcentral. RNAcentral also lists the same sequence under 1 other name. Lineage: Bacteria; Bacillati; Bacillota; Bacilli; Lactobacillales; Lactobacillaceae.